UACGUAGGGUGCAAGCGUUGUCCGGAAUUAUUGGGCGUAAAGAGCUCGUAGGCGGUCUGUCACGUCUGCUGUGAAAACUCGGGGCUUAACCCCGGGCCUGCAGUGGGUACGGGCAGACUAGAGUGCGGUAGGGGAGACUGGAAUUCCUGGUGUAGCGGUGAAAUGCGCAGAUAUCAGGAGGAACACCGGUGGCGAAGGCGGGUCUCUGGGCCGAUACUGACGCUGAGACGCGAAAGCGUGGGGAGCAAACAGG
RNAcentral lists this ribosomal RNA (253 nucleotides) under uncultured bacterium. RNAcentral describes it as "partial 16S ribosomal RNA". It matches the Rfam family "Bacterial small subunit ribosomal RNA", at positions 524 to 776 of the family's 1533-position model. The record is from RNAcentral.